RNAcentral lists this ribosomal RNA (484 nucleotides) under uncultured bacterium. RNAcentral describes it as "partial 16S ribosomal RNA". It matches the Rfam family "Bacterial small subunit ribosomal RNA", at positions 30 to 507 of the family's 1533-position model. The record is from RNAcentral.
AUUGAACGCUGGCGGCAUGCUUUACACAUGCAAGUCGAACGGUAGCAGGGAGCUUGCUCCGCUGACGAGUGGCGAACGGGUGAGUAAUAUAUCGGAACGUACCCAAGAGUGGGGGAUAACGUAGCGAAAGUUACGCUAAUACCGCAUACGAUCUAUGGAUGAAAGCAGGGGACCUUCGGGCCUUGUGCUCCUGGAGCGGCCGAUAUCUGAUUAGCUAGUUGGUGAGGUAAAGGCUCACCAAGGCGACGAUCAGUAGCUGGUCUGAGAGGACGACCAGCCACACUGGAACUGAGACACGGUCCAGACUCCUACGGGAGGCAGCAGUGGGGAAUUUUGGACAAUGGGCGCAAGCCUGAUCCAGCAAUGCCGCGUGAGUGAAGAAGGCCUUCGGGUUGUAAAGCUCUUUUGUCAGGGAAGAAACGGCUGUGGCUAAUAUCCACGGCUAAUGACGGUACCUGAAGAAUAAGCACCGGCUAACUACGUG